This 86-nucleotide transfer RNA is filed under the name Chromera velia. RNAcentral describes it as "tRNA-Leu". It matches the Rfam family "tRNA". From Rfam's summary of the family: Transfer RNA (tRNA) molecules are approximately 80 nucleotides in length. Their secondary structure includes four short double-helical elements and three loops (D, anti-codon, and T loops). Further hydrogen bonds mediate the characteristic L-shaped molecular structure. tRNAs have two regions of fundamental functional importance: the anti-codon, which is responsible for specific mRNA codon recognition, and the 3' end, to which the tRNAs corresponding amino acid is attached (by aminoacyl-tRNA synthetases). tRNAs cope with the degeneracy of the genetic code in two manners: having more than one tRNA (with a specific anti-codon) for a particular amino acid; and 'wobble' base-pairing, i.e. permitting non-standard base-pairing at the 3rd anti-codon position. The record is from RNAcentral. Lineage: Eukaryota; Chromeraceae.
GCGGGUGUGACGAAAUUGGUAGACGUAUCAGAUUUAGAUUCUGACAGAGAAAUAUCUCUAUGGGAGUUCAAGUCUCUUCAUCCGUA